GUCCAGUAUCCAUGCCGUAGUACUACAACACCAACACCAAAACUACAACAGAUUCAUGCAAUACCCAACACCAUCCUUCAGAGGAGGACAGUGUUCCUUCUCGAGGUGUUUAACCAUCCCUAGAAAGUCAGUGUGCCUUCUCAAGGUUUCCUAGCGUCCCUGGAAAGAGUGGUCCCUCUCUAUGUUCCUUCUCAAUCUUUCACCCCUAUGGGGGGUGAAAGAUUGCUCUUCUCCUUUAGAUGGUUUAGGCCUUUAAGAGUUGUUUAAUCUGGGCCUCUGAAGCCCUUUGGUACUGUUUCUUAGAUAAAGGACCAGACUAAUAAAAUAGACUGGAAAUGUAACAAAAUAUUGAUCUAAUGUCAAUAUAAUAAUAAAAUAUUAUCUACAUGUUAGAUGUCUUAAUUUCGUCCGUGUUUGAAAAUGUUUUUAGUUCGCCUUAACAAGAGCUGCUUUAUGUCCAGCUGGAGGUGGCAUGAGGGUGCUGGUAUAGAUUCACCUCUGGAAGUCCCCUCGGCAUGUGCAGACUAAUUCAGUGGUCUGAACACUCAAUAAUAGGGACAUGAACAAGCAGGAAAACCGCUGACGUGGAUAAUCUGAGAAAACAUCCAUUUGGGGUGGCCAUUGGGUUGCCCAAUCACGGGCGACUUGUCUUCCUUGGGUGGUGGGCGGUGGCCAACCGAGGCCAAUGUGGACACAGCGCUGCUCCUCUGUUGUCCCAGGGAACAAGACCUCCAGCGCAAGAGGGAGUACCAGCAGGAGAUCAAGGAGAUCAAGGAGCGAGUGAAGGAGAGACCUCUGCUCCUGGAACAAGUGGCGCAGAGGAACGCCAAGACGGCAGUAGAGCGGCGUUACACGGAGGCUCUGCGUGGGUGUGGCCUGACGGACGACUUCCUGUCUAGGACAGGAAAUGGCACUCCCAAGUCCGUACACAAGACCUCUAGCGCCUCCAGAUCUAGCUGCAACUCCGACUCCCCUGUUGGCUGUCGGAAGAAGUCCCUUGAUGUCCACAGCCUGAGCUCAGACCUCGUUGGAGGAGAGACCAAACAUGGAGAGGAGGAGGAGGAAGAGGAGGAGGAGGAGGAGGAGGAGGAGUGCAAGGGAGAGCGCUUGGUAAGAAGUCACGAGGAGGACAGUGUCCAGUCGGCGGAUGAAAGCUACCACUACUCUGACGACCAGGAGAACUUCUCAGACAGUCAGGAGACCUACUCGGACGAGAGUGAGCAGGAGGAGGGGCAGCAGGAGGAACAGGGUGACAAGACAAGCCUGCAUGUCGAAAACAGCAGCACAUUAAGCAAGGCAAGCGAUGAGAACUAG
RNAcentral lists this long non-coding RNA (1314 nucleotides) under Gadus morhua (Atlantic cod). Its description in RNAcentral is "lncRNA (ENSGMOG00000033817.1)". The record is from RNAcentral. Lineage: Eukaryota; Metazoa; Chordata; Actinopteri; Gadiformes; Gadidae.